GAUGAAGAACGUAGUGAAAUGCGAUAAGUAGUGUGAAUUGCAGAAUUCAGUGAAUCAUCGAAUCUUUGAACGCACAUUGCGCCCCUUGGUAUUCCAUGGGGCAUGCCUGUUCGAGCGUCAUUUGUACCUUCAAGCUCUGCUUGGUGUUGGGUGUUUGUCUCGCCUCUGCGUGUAGACUCGCCUCAAAAUAAUUGGCAGCCGGCGUAUUGAUUUCGGAGUGCAGUACAUCUCGCGCUUUGCACUCAUAACGACGACGUCCAAAAGUACAUUUUUACACUCUUGACCUCGGAUCAGGUAGGGAUACCCGCUGAACUUAAGCAUAUCAAUAAGCGGAGGA
RNAcentral lists this unclassified non-coding RNA (337 nucleotides) under soil metagenome. RNAcentral's name for it is "partial contains 5.8S ribosomal RNA, internal transcribed spacer 2, and large subunit ribosomal RNA". The stretch from base 1 to 120 matches the Rfam family "5.8S ribosomal RNA", at positions 35 to 154 of the family's 154-position model. The record is from RNAcentral.